UACGUAGGUGGCAAGCGUUGUCCGGAUUUACUGGGCGUAAAGAGCGCGCAGGCGGUCGUCCAAGUCGCGUGUGAAAGCCCCCGGCUCAACUGGGGAGGGUCACGCGAUACUGGUCGACUCGAAGGCAGGAGAGGGUAGUGGAAUUCCCGGUGUAGUGGUGAAAUGCGUAGAUAUCAGGAGGAAUACCGAUGGCGAAGGCAGGUCUCUGGGCUGACACUGACGCUCAUGCACGAAAGCGUGGGGAGCAAACAGG
RNAcentral lists this ribosomal RNA (253 nucleotides) under uncultured bacterium. RNAcentral's name for it is "partial 16S ribosomal RNA". It matches the Rfam family "Bacterial small subunit ribosomal RNA", at positions 524 to 776 of the family's 1533-position model. The record is from RNAcentral.